CCUACGGGCGGCAGCAGUAGGGAAUCUUUCACAAUGGGCGCAAGCCUGAUGGAGCAACGCCGCGUGCAGGAUGAAGGCCUUACGGUUGUUAACUGCUUUUAUAAGCGAGAAAUAUGAUGGUAACUUAUGAAUAAGGAACGGCUAACUACGUGACAGCAGCCGCGGUCAUACGUAGGAUCCGAGCAUUAUCCGGAGUGACUGUGUGUAAAGAGUUGCGUAGGUGGCAUAAUAAGUAGCUAGUGGAAUCUGGUGGCUCAACCAUUCAGACUAUUAGCUAAACUGUUAGUCUUGAGUACGUUAGGGGUAGCUGGAAUUUCUAGUGUAGGAGUGAAAUCCGUAGAUAUUAGAAGGAACACCAAUAGCGUAGGCAGGUUACUGAGACGGUUCUGACACUAAGGCACGAAAGCGUAGGGAGCAAACGGGAUUAGAUACCCCAGUAGUC
RNAcentral lists this ribosomal RNA (442 nucleotides) under uncultured bacterium. RNAcentral describes it as "partial 16S ribosomal RNA". It matches the Rfam family "Bacterial small subunit ribosomal RNA", at positions 338 to 795 of the family's 1533-position model. The record is from RNAcentral.